This is a small nuclear RNA of Cebus imitator (Panamanian white-faced capuchin), 164 nucleotides long. Its record names the gene U1. It matches the Rfam family "U1 spliceosomal RNA". Rfam says of the family: U1 is a small nuclear RNA (snRNA) component of the spliceosome (involved in pre-mRNA splicing). Lineage: Eukaryota; Metazoa; Chordata; Mammalia; Primates; Cebidae. The record is from Ensembl.
GUGCUUCCCUGGCAGGGGAGAUGGACUAGAGUCCUGAAGGUGGUCUUCCAGGGUGAGGCUUAUUCAUUGCACACCAGAUGUGUUGACCUCUGCGAUUUCCCCAAAUGUGGGAAAGUCACUGCAUCAUUUGUGGUAGUGGGGGACUGUGUCUGGGCUCUCUCCUG